CGAAGGAUCCAAGCGUUGUCCGGAUUUACUGGGUUUAAAGGGUGCGUAGGCGGACUUUUAAGUCAGUGGUGAAAGCUCGCAGCUUAACUGUGAAAUUGCCAUUGAAACUGAAAGUCUCGAGUGUGGUUGAGGUAACUGGAAUAUAUCAUGUAGCGGUGAAAUGCUUAGAUAUGAUAUAGAACACCAAUUGCGAAGGCAGGUUACUGAACCACAACUGACGCUGAGGCACGAAAGCGUGGGGAUCAAACAGGAUUAGAUACCCUGGUAGUCCACGCCGUAAACGUUGAAUACUCGAUCUUAGCGAUACACAGUUAGGAUCCAAGCGAAAGCGUUAAGUAUUCCACCUGGGAAGUACGUUCGCAAGAAUG
Molecule: ribosomal RNA, 368 nt
Filed under: uncultured organism
Description: bacterial SSU rRNA
Rfam family: Bacterial small subunit ribosomal RNA
Source: RNAcentral